GACGAACGCUGGCGGCGUGCUUAACACAUGCAAGUCGAACGGACAGGCCCUGCUUUUGUGGGUUUCUCGAGUGGCGCACGGGUGAGUAUCACGUGAGUAACCUGCCCUUGACUUUGUGAUAACUUCAGGGAACUUUGGCUAAUACCGGAUAUGAUCUCCUGCUGCAUGUUGUUUGUUGGAAAGUUUCGGCUUUUGUGGAUCGACUCGCGGCUUAUCAGCUUGUUUGUGGGGUAGUGGCUUACCAAGGCUUUGACGGGUAGCCGGCCUGAGAGGGGUAACGGCCUCAUGGGGACUGAGAGAGGGACCAGAAGCGUAAGGGACGCAGCAGGGGGGAAUAUUGCACAAUGGGCGGAAGCGUGAGGCAGAAAUGCCGCGUGCGGGAUAACGGGCUUCGGGUGGAAAACCGAUGUCGAAUGUGACGAAGAGGGAGUGACGGUAAUGAGUAAAGAAGCAACGGCUAACUACGUG
This 468-nucleotide ribosomal RNA is filed under the name uncultured bacterium. RNAcentral describes it as "partial 16S ribosomal RNA". It matches the Rfam family "Bacterial small subunit ribosomal RNA", at positions 28 to 507 of the family's 1533-position model. The record is from RNAcentral.